Phacochoerus africanus (Common warthog) is the source of this 1444-nucleotide long non-coding RNA. RefSeq lists it as uncharacterized. The transcript has 4 exons. The record is from RefSeq and is a predicted model, not a curated record. NCBI's taxonomy places the organism in Eukaryota, Metazoa, Chordata, Mammalia, Artiodactyla, Suidae.
UUCGGGGACAAACGCCCGGAUACAUCACUCGGUAGGUUAAGGCAGGCCCGCGUGUUAAAGCCGAGGAGAUCCAGGUGAAUUACCAACUUUAUGCCUGACCUCCCCCUCCCCCCGCCGCCCCUUCUUUCCCCAACAUGAACUUGGAAACAACUCAGGCCAAGAUGGAACCUCCUUGUCUCAGAAAAGCGAUUUCUCUGUUUAAUUCUCGGGAAACUGAGCUGACUGGGCCAGGCAACGCAAUCCUUUUCCGAUUACAGAAAGGAUCAAACUGGGCCGGCCGCCUGCAAGCUCUUCCCGGAACUACAGCCAGCUGCGGCCAACACCUGAGUGCCUUCCGACGGCUGCUUUCUGGGGUUUGAGCUCCAUCUCUCCAGCAGGGCCACCAGGCAUCGGCGCGGCUGGAGGUAGUGGGGGCGGGGGCGCCGUCAAGCCAAGCAUCGACAGGGGCGCAGCUACGUUUAUGAUCCUAAAAUGAACUGCAAAGGAAAUUGUGAAGAGUAACAGCAGAAGCCAGAUCCUCCUGGCCACCAUUCUCAGCUGGUAGCAAGACAUACCUAACAGUGCUGAACUCUGACUGCAGGGAAGCUGAUGGGGUGGUGUGAUCCAUUAAGGGAAGAGAAACCCCAAAGGCCCUUCUAGAGUGUCGUUUCCAUGAAAUGACAGCUUCCCAUGCUGACAUCUUAGAAGCAUUGAAUGAGCUGGUGAUCCUGGAAAUUUAUUGGCAUUCUAUAUGUUUGUGUAACUUGGACUUGGCACGUACCUUUUCAUGUGGAAAUAUUUACGUUUCUGAGAAGCCGCUUUAAUUUAAGGAUGGCAUACAAUUUGUGGUCUCACUGUACGGGCUCAGAUGAGUACAUUUGCAGUUGAAGCUACAAAUUUUGCUUUCCGAAAUUAUGACUUCUCUUUUUCUUUAAAAACAAACAAACAAACACACACAGUGGCAAACCGAGGUUUAUUUCAAUAUUUCUUCUUUCCCAUAAAACAACGCAGUGGCAGCGUCUCCUGAAUAUAUGUGUUUGCCUGCCUCUAAGUGUCUAUCGACUCCCUGAUCCCUCAGCUCUCCCUGAUAGAUGCUAACAGCCCCACAGGCGUGACAGACAGGAUUAAAUAUCAUCUCUCUAAGGACUGAUCAGAAAUGUAAUAACGGUAUGAUAUUCAUAUUUUUUCUUUACCUGUAACUUCAUUGAAUAUAAAUACUGCACAGUGAUACAAGUAAUGGUAAUUUGGGGGAUUUAAUACGGCAUUUCCCAUCAAUAAAGUGUUUUAUCACCAUCAGAUAGUUAACCUCCUAACACCACUGUGAACUAAUUAGUUCAGUUGGGUUCCUAUCCUAUACUGCUCAAAAGGAAUUUUCUUAUGUCUGCUGUACAGUUGGAAAAAGUACGAAAACAUUGCUCAGUGAGUGGAUGCACAAAUUUAAUAUAAAGGUAAUACUUAACUCUGU